GACGAACGCUGGCGGCGUGCCUAAUACAUGCAAGUCGAGCGGACGAAUUUUUGGUGCUUGCACCGAAUUUUCGUUAGCGGCGGACGGGUGAGUAACACGUGGGUAACCUGCCUUGUAGACUGGGAUAACUUCGGGAAACCGGAGCUAAUACCGGAUAAUACUUUUGAACUCAUGUUCAAUUGUUGAAAGAUGGUUCUGCUAUCACUACAAGAUGGACCCGCGGCGCAUUAGCUAGUUGGUGAGGUAACGGCUCACCAAGGCGACGAUGCGUAGCCGACCUGAGAGGGUGAUCGGCCACACUGGGACUGAGACACGGCCCAGACUCCUACGGGAGGCAGCAGUAGGGAAUCUUCCACAAUGGACGAAAGUCUGAUGGAGCAACGCCGCGUGAGUGAUGAAGGAUUUCGGUUCGUAAAACUCUGUUGCAAGGGAAGAACAAGUAGCGUAGUAACUGGCGCUACCUUGACGGUACCUUGUUAGAAAGCCACGGCUAACUACGUGCCAGCCGCCGCAGUAAAAC
RNAcentral lists this ribosomal RNA (520 nucleotides) under uncultured bacterium. Its description in RNAcentral is "bacterial SSU rRNA". It matches the Rfam family "Bacterial small subunit ribosomal RNA", at positions 28 to 526 of the family's 1533-position model. The record is from RNAcentral.